CCUACGGGAGGCAGCAGGAGGGAAUAUUGCUCAAUGGGGGAAACCCUGAAGCAGCAACGCCGCGUGGAGGAUGAAGGUUUUCGGAGUGUAAACUCCUUUUGUUAGAGAAGAGAAUGACGGUAUCUAACGAAUAAGCACCGGCUAACGCCGGGCCAGCAGCCGCGGUAAUACGGAGGGUGCAAGCGUUCCUCGGAAUCACUGGGCGUAAAGAGCGCGUAGGCGGGAUAGCACGUCAGAUGUGAAAUCCUAUGGCUUAACCAUAGAACUGCAUUUGAAACUGUUAUUCUAGAGUAUGGGAGAGGUAGGUGGACUUCUUUGUGUAGUGGUUACAUCCGUAGAGAUCACG
This 346-nucleotide ribosomal RNA is filed under the name uncultured bacterium. RNAcentral's name for it is "partial 16S ribosomal RNA". It matches the Rfam family "Bacterial small subunit ribosomal RNA", at positions 338 to 701 of the family's 1533-position model. The record is from RNAcentral.